AUACGGAAGGUCCGGGCGUUAUCCGGAUUUAUUGGGCUUAAAGGGAGCGCAGGCGGAGAUGCAAGCGUGACGUCAAAUUUCGGGGCUCAACCCCGUCUAGCGGCGCGAACUGCGUCCCUUGGUUGCGGGAAGGGGAGGCGGAACUCGUGGGGGUGCGGGUGAAUGCAUAGAUAUCACGAAGAACUCCGAUCGCGAAGGCAGCCUUCCGGCCCGUCAACGACGCUCAUGCUCGAAGGUGCGGGUAUCAAACAGGAUUAGAUACCCUGGUAGUCCGCACAGUAAACGAUGGACACCCGCGGUUUGGCCUGUAUGGCUGAGCCGCCAAGCGAAAGCGUUAAGUGUCCCACCUGGGGAGUACGCCGGCAACGGUGAAACUCAAAUGAAUUGACGGGG
This 393-nucleotide ribosomal RNA is filed under the name uncultured bacterium. Its description in RNAcentral is "partial 16S ribosomal RNA". It matches the Rfam family "Bacterial small subunit ribosomal RNA", at positions 523 to 918 of the family's 1533-position model. The record is from RNAcentral.